GACGAACGCUGGCGGCGUGCUUAACACAUGCAAGUCGAACGGAAAGGCCCUGCUUGCAGGGUACUCGAGUGGCGAACGGGUGAGUAACACGUGGGUGAUCUGCCCUGCACUUCGGGAUAAGCCUGGGAAACUGGGUCUAAUACCGGAUAGGAGCCAUUUUUAGUGUGAUGGUUGGAAAGUUUUUUCGGUGUAGGAUGAGCUCGCGGCCUAUCAGCUUGUUGGUGGGGUAAUGGCCUACCAAGGCGGCGACGGGUAGCCGGCCUGAGAGGGUGGACGGCCACAUUGGGACUGAGAUACGGCGCAGACUCCUACGGGAGGCAGCAGUGGGGAAUAUUGCACAAUGGGCGCAAGCCUGAUGCAGCGACGCCGCGUGGGGGAUGACGGCCUUCGGGUUGUAAACUCCUUUCGCUAGGGACGAAGCUUUUGUGACGGUACCUAGAUAAGAAGCACCGGCUAACUACGUG
This 464-nucleotide ribosomal RNA is filed under the name uncultured bacterium. RNAcentral describes it as "partial 16S ribosomal RNA". It matches the Rfam family "Bacterial small subunit ribosomal RNA", at positions 28 to 507 of the family's 1533-position model. The record is from RNAcentral.